GUCUACGGCUGUACCACCCUGCACGCGCCCGAUCUCAUCUGAUCUCGGAAGCUAAGCAGGGUCGGGCCUGGUUAGUGCUUGGAUGGGAGAUACAAUUAGGCAGUAGCAGUGGCCUUAGCUG
RNAcentral lists this ribosomal RNA (121 nucleotides) under Oryctolagus cuniculus (rabbit). The record is from RNAcentral. Lineage: Eukaryota; Metazoa; Chordata; Mammalia; Lagomorpha; Leporidae.